RNAcentral lists this long non-coding RNA (485 nucleotides) under Physcomitrium patens. RNAcentral's name for it is "long non-coding RNA (PPAT_LNC005544)". The record is from RNAcentral. Lineage: Eukaryota; Viridiplantae; Streptophyta; Bryopsida; Funariales; Funariaceae.
UAUAAUACUUUUAUUUUAAAAACUAUCAAUAAAACUUACAUCAAAGGUACUUAUAUCUUACAAGAAUACUUCUUUUGUACUUUCAUAAUUCUACUUUACAGUGGUACUUCUCUAAAAUCCUUCAAUUCUUCAAUAAUUCUUAGCCACGGCUUUUACUUCAACCUAUUUUAAUUUUAUUCAUAAUUAAGAGGAACACUUAAAAAUUAUAUUUUUUUCCUUCCAUCUUCACUAUAUAUUCAUGCAUAGGCUGAAUCAUCAUCAAAAACUUUUGUUUCCAUCUAUAUAGCCAUAAUAUAUAAUUGUCCUAAAAUCAUUGGAUAAGAUGUUGUAUCUUAAACAAAGAAAAGUUAUUCUAUUGGAACAUCUCUAAUCCAAAUUUUAACGUCUAGGCAACCUCCAUAUAAUUUAUUUUGUGUAUUAUUAGCUACUUGAUUUUUCCAUCCAUACUCCAUAUGAAUUGGCUACUUUUUGUUCAUAAAAAAGAU